This 213-nucleotide long non-coding RNA is filed under the name Elaeis guineensis (African oil palm). RNAcentral describes it as "long non-coding RNA (EGUI_LNC027458)". The record is from RNAcentral. Lineage: Eukaryota; Viridiplantae; Streptophyta; Magnoliopsida; Arecales; Arecaceae.
AUGAUUUCACUAGUCGUCACUUUGUUAUCCUAUCAGUCCGUGUCCCAUGAACUAAAUGAUGAUCCGGAAGGUGAACGGUAGGGGUUACUCUUCUGAUCUUCCUCAAAAUUCUAUCUUGACUAAGGUAAAAUGAGGUCUUGAUGUAUGUCAAUGUUGAUUAAUUGGAUGUGAUAACCCGGCCCAAUUGAGACCCAAAACCAGCUCAAAACCCAC